This 3361-nucleotide long non-coding RNA is filed under the name Canis lupus familiaris (dog). RNAcentral's name for it is "lncRNA (ENSCAFG00040011379.1)". Lineage: Eukaryota; Metazoa; Chordata; Mammalia; Carnivora; Canidae. The record is from RNAcentral.
GGCCAGGCCUGGGCUGACGGUAUGAUGGCAGAGCUAAGGGAAUGGAGGGUCAGUAGGAACGGUGGCGCUGGGUGGCUGCAGGUCACAGAGUGCAAUGCAAGUACGUGCAGGCCUCCACGUUAUCCUUCCACCAUGGGACCCCCCGAUCAGCAGCUGGUGAGGUUUUGGCCCCAAAUUACAACAUGUGGUUGAAGGUAUCACAUUGAGACAGUGAGACAAACCAUUCAAAAUCAGGGCUGCCCUGGAAAAUCCAGUACGUCUUGUGGUGUUUGGGUUGGGGUGUGCGGUUGGGUCAAACUUCGUUUUUGAGCUUCAGUUAACCACAGGUGGCUGGGGCCCAGGAAGGAGGUGGCUCUUGCAAAGAACUAGGGGCCGCCCUCGUGAGAGGCACCCUCCUCCGAGCAGCCAACUGCUUCUCAGUUCCUGCAGUGAGCUCCCGCAGAUCGAGGGAGAAAGCUCUUGUCAGCUCAUGAACUGCUCAGCUGUUCCUCCCAUUUUGCAGAUGAAGAAAUAGAGGCCUUUGGAAAGUUAGAGGGCCCUUUCCAAAACCAUAGAGCAAAUGAGGAAGCUAACCCCAGGGAGUCCACACGUUCCUGUCACCACUCGGCAGCCUCUCCACAGAUGAUUACUGGAGGACCGAAUGGAUGAGUGGAUGACUGAUUGACAACCAAGUGACCAGUCACCACGCCGGGCACUCUCAGAAAGCCUGAACGUUUUGUUUGCUUCCAGUUUAGGGUUAGGCUUAGGUCCUGAUCUCGAGGUUGUGAGACCGAGCCCUGUGUUGGCCUCUGUGCUGGAUGUGGAGCCUGCUUGGGAUCCUCCACCCUCCCUCUGCUCCUUCCCCCCUAAGAAGAAAAAAAAAAAAAAGAAAAAGAAAAAGAGAGAAAAAAAGCCUCAAGAGGCUGGGAAAAAAAAUCACUCGCGAUCUCAUCAUGAAAAGGGUUCAACACAGCGUGUUGGCAGAUUUUCUUCAGGACGCUGGUGUCUCUUGGGGACAGAAGGAGAAUUUCAAGGGCCUUGGCCUCAGGUAACCCUCCAGGGCCUGAGUCUCCACUGUCCCUUGCAGCCAUCUCUUGGAUCCACAGAGGAGCCAUUCCCACAUCUUUGUCCCCUCCCUGGCCCAAGGGCUUUCCGGAGACUGUGGGGAGCUCUGGCUGGGCUUGAUGGCGAUGGCAGGCUUCUGGGCUUGGGUGUCCCCCCUGCAGCCUGGGGGCCAAGCAGUCCUAGUCAGCAUAUAGGUGUUUGGGGCUCUGUUCGUCUCUUGCCCUAUUGUCCAUUCUUGACUUUGCCCGAGGCCCUGUCUGGGCCAGGCCUUGACACUUCCAAACCCCCGAAUCAGCCACCAGCAUAUGGCUAAAGUGAGAUGGAACAAUGGAAAGAGGUUUGGUCUGCAGGCUCCAUGUACACAGCUGGACUUCCCAGGAGGAGUCUCAGGCCACAUCCAUGUGGGAGUCAGUGAUGUGGUUGAUUAAUUAUGUCUGCCCUGGGCCUGGCGUGGGAAUAUGGGAUGGAAGCCCUUCCUGUCAUUCCAAACAUGUGAGGGUCUAGGCCUUCAAUGAGCAUGAUGGGAAAGGUGGGUUAAAUUCAGAGUCCAGGGCACCUGGGUGGCUCAGUGGUUGAGCGUCUGCUUUGGCUCAGGUCAUGAUCUCAGAGUUCCAGGAUCAAGUCCCGCAUUGGGCUCCCCACAGGGAGCCUGCUUCUCCCUCUGCCUUUGUCUCUGCCUCUCUCUCUGUGUCUCUCAUGAAUGAAUAAAUAAAAUCUAUAAGAAAAAUUCAGAGUCCAGUGGUAUAUGCUAACGUGAGCAGUAUUAUUGGAAUUCCCAUGAGGGAAGACUCAAAUCAGGCUGGAAGCUCCUGAGAGGAAGCCAGACAAUGGCCGGGCAGGGAGGGGACGAGAGCAGGCUCCAGACUAGGGAAAGAAUUUGACAAAAGCACCAUCAUGGCUUGUCCAGGGGAAUGCGGACAGACCCGCCUCUCAAAAUAAUUAUAGAACCUCAGAGAACGCGCAGCCAGAACUUAACGGGUAGGUUCAAUCGUAUCUAGAUCAGAGGAAAAAUGCAUUUAAGCUUUUUUAAAGCGGUGACUGCUAUUUUUAAACUAGUGAAAUGUUUAAAAACACAGAGAGGAGGGAAAAGGCCCAAAGAAUAAUAUAAGAAAAAGUUCCUCUUCAUUGUUUGCAUUUUGUCAUAUUUGUCUCCAGUCUCAUUUUAUUUUUAUUUUUAUUUUUUUUCAUUUUAUUUUUAAAAGUAUAAAACAUGACAUGUGAGGCUUUGGCCCCUCAAACCAUCACCCCAUCCGAUUCCCCAGAUGCAAGAACCAUGGCUAUCAGAAAUGCAAAGAGCAUUUCUUUUUUUAUUAUUAUUUUUUUAAAGAUUCCAUCCAUUUAUUCAUGAGGCAUCCUCAAAGACCAUUUCUAGGAUAUGUUAAGUAUUUCUACAUAUCCCCCUAUGCACACUGAGACAUUUCUCAAUGACUUUUCAUGCCUUUAGUUUUCAAGAGUCAGGGUAAUUUUCUGUUUGCAAUCAGCACAGACUGGAGCCUGCCCUGGCCAAGCACUUCCCCUUGAACACCGUGGAAAUGCUCCUUCCGUCGACCCCCUGGUUGCCCACCCCUUCCUGGGCAGCUACCCAUUCUUGUAGGUUGAACACUUCCAUUUGGCAUGUGUUGACAUAAUUCAGGAGAAUUCUCGCCAGACUUUCUCUGUGUCUGUCAUACCAUACAACACAGAGCUAGGCUUGACCCGGAAGGUUGGUGCUCAGAGAUUGCCAACCAAGUGUGUAAAACCCUUCCAUGGGAUUUCCUAUGCCACAUGUGGGACACUGAUAACUCACUCCCUUUUCCUAUGUUGUAGAAGGCAUUCUCAACUUGGGGUCUUACAGACCUCAGAGAGUUUGUCACUAGGACCAUAUUUAAAAUAAUUGGAUUCUUUUGUAACCUUACAUGUUUUAUUUUAUUUCUAUAAAAACAUUAUUCUGAGAAGGGGUCCACAAGCUUAAUUAGCCUGCCAAAAGGGUCCUGGCACCCAAAAAAAGAGGCUAGAAAUCCCUGUUUAGCUGGGCAUGUUGCUGCCUACAAUGAGAUGACACUUCCUAGUUCGUUCUGACAAACAUUGUGUUAUAGAAAUGGUGUUUGCCAUUUCUUCAAAGAGCCCUUAAGAAGAGGAAAUCUGUCCUUCUUUCUCUCUUCCUUCUUCCUGAUUCCAGAUUGCAGACAUAAUGGCUGGAGCUGCAGUAGUUAUGUUGGGCCUUGGGGAUGGAAGCCACAGAUGGCAGCACAACAGGAUAGAAGACCCUGACAACGUAGAGGGCUUCAUAGCCCCAGACCAACUAUCUCCAGGCUGUGUCAUAUGAGAAGGAAGUAAG